Molecule: ribosomal RNA, 510 nt
Filed under: uncultured bacterium
Lineage: Bacteria
Description: bacterial SSU rRNA
Rfam family: Bacterial small subunit ribosomal RNA
Source: RNAcentral
UAGUCCACGCCCUAAACGAUGUUAACUCGAUAUUGGCGAUACACAGUCAGUGUCUAAGCGAAAGCGUUAAGUUAACCACCUGGGGAGUACGUUCGCAAGAAUGAAACUCAAAGGAAUUGACGGGGUCCGCACAAGCGGUGGAGCAUGUGGUUUAAUUCGAUGAUACGCGAGGAACCUUACCUGGGCUCGAACGCUAUGGGACCGUCCCUGAAAGGGGACUUUUCUUCGGAACCGAUAGUGAGGUGCUGCAUGGUUGUCGUCAGCUCGUGCCGUGAGGUGUUGGGUUAAGUCCCGCAACGAGCGUAACCCUCAUCUUAGUUGCCAGCAUGUAAUGAUGGGGACUCUAAAGAAACUGCCUACGCAAGUAGUGAGAAGGGGGGACGACGUCAAAUCAUCAUGGCCUUUAUGCCCAGGGGCUACACACGUGCUACAAUGGCCGGUACAGAGGGGCAGCAAUACCGCGAGGUGGAGCGGAAUCUCAAAAAGCCGGGUCUCAGUUCGGGAUAGGGA